GAUGAAGAACGCAGCGAAAUGCGAUACGUAGUGUGAAUUGCAGAAUUCAGUGAAUCAUCGAAUCUUUGAACGCACAGUGCACCUCUCGGUAUUCCGGGAGGUAUGCCUGUUCGAGCGUCAUUUGUACCCUCAAGCUCUGCUUGGUGUUGGGUGUUUGUUCCGCCUCUGUGUGUGAACUCGCCUCAAAACAAUUGGCAGCCGGCGUACUUGUUUCGGAGCGCAGCACAUUUUGCGAUCCAGAUCAACGUACAGCGGCAUCCAAGAAGCCUUAUUUAACGCUCUUGACCUCGGAUCAGGUAGGGAUACCCGCUGAACUUAAGCAUAUCAAUAAGCGGAGGA
This 339-nucleotide unclassified non-coding RNA is filed under the name soil metagenome. RNAcentral describes it as "partial contains 5.8S ribosomal RNA, internal transcribed spacer 2, and large subunit ribosomal RNA". The stretch from base 1 to 120 matches the Rfam family "5.8S ribosomal RNA", at positions 35 to 154 of the family's 154-position model. The record is from RNAcentral.